RNAcentral lists this transfer RNA (72 nucleotides) under Ovis aries (sheep). It matches the Rfam family "tRNA". Rfam says of the family: Transfer RNA (tRNA) molecules are approximately 80 nucleotides in length. Their secondary structure includes four short double-helical elements and three loops (D, anti-codon, and T loops). The record is from Rfam by way of RNAcentral. Lineage: Eukaryota; Metazoa; Chordata; Mammalia; Artiodactyla; Bovidae.
UCCCUGGUGGCUCAUAUUGUAAAGAAUCUGUCUGCAAUGCAGGAGACCCAGGUUCGAUCCCUGGGUUGGGAA